GAUGAACGCUGGCGGCGUGCCUAAUACAUGCCAGUAGAACGCUGAAGGAAGGAGCUUGCUCUUUCCGGAUGAGUUGCGAACGGGUGAGUAACGCGUAGGUAACCUGCCUGGUAGCGGGGGAUAACUAUUGGAAACGAUAGCUAAUACCGCAUAACAGUAGAUGUUGCAUGAUAUCUACUUAAAAGGUGCAAUUGCACCACUACCAGAUGGACCUGCGUUGUAUUAGCUAGUUGGUGAGGUAACGGCUCACCAAGGCGACGAUACAUAGCCGACCUGAGAGGGUGAUCGGCCACACUGGGACUGAGACACGGCCCAGACUCCUACGGGAGACAGCAGUAGGGAAUCUUCGGCAAUGGACGGAAGUCUGACCGAGCAACGCCGCGUGAGUGAAGAAGGUUUUCGGAUCGUAAAGCUCUGUUGUAAGAGAAGAACGAGUGUGAGAGUGGAAAGUUCACACUGUGACGGUAUCUUACCAGAAAGGGACGGCUAACUACGUG
This 497-nucleotide ribosomal RNA is filed under the name uncultured bacterium. RNAcentral's name for it is "partial 16S ribosomal RNA". It matches the Rfam family "Bacterial small subunit ribosomal RNA", at positions 28 to 507 of the family's 1533-position model. The record is from RNAcentral.